RNAcentral lists this long non-coding RNA (1434 nucleotides) under Durio zibethinus. RNAcentral's name for it is "long non-coding RNA (DZIB_LNC002032)". Lineage: Eukaryota; Viridiplantae; Streptophyta; Magnoliopsida; Malvales; Malvaceae. The record is from RNAcentral.
UUUUUAAAAAUUUUAUAAAAGUUAAAAAAAAAUUUUAUUUUUCGAAUCUUUUUUAUUUUUUCAUUUUCAUUUUUUUUGUUCUAUGUUCUAAUUUUUCAAUAACUUUUUCCCUUUGAAAUUUUCUUUCUUUUGCUUUUUUUUUUUUCAUAUGCUUUCAGUUUUACUUGUUUUAAUUUUUUCGUUGUUUUAAAACUUUUUACAUUUCUUUUUUCUUUUUUUAUUCCAAAUCUUUUGUCUUUUCAUUUUUAUUCUUUUCUUAUUUUUUCACAAAUUUCCUUUCAUUUCUUAUUUGCAUUUUUAAAUUAUUAGACUUUUUUUGUGCACUUUCUUUUUGUUUUUAUUUAUAUUUUUUAUUAACUUUUAUUUUAUUUUUUAUCUUUGAUUUUUUAUAUCUUUUUCCUAUAUUUGUUAUAUUUUUGUUGUUUUUCUUUGUAUAUUCUGAACUAAAAGUUUUUUCUAUUUUGUAUUUGAAAUUUUUAUUCAUUUUGUCUUUUGUAUUUUUUUAUUCGCUAAUUUUUUAAUAUCUUACUUUUUUAUUUUUUGCUUUUUUGGUAUUUUAUUUAAUUUUUUCUUCCAUAUUAAUAUUUUAUCUUAAUUUAUUUUUCCAUUUAUUUUUAUUUAUAUUUUAAAAAAUUUUUAUAAAGUUCAAAAUUUUUUAUUUUUAUUUUUUGAAUCUUUUUUAUUUUUUUCUUGCUAUUUUUGUCCUACUUUGUAAUUUUUUAAUAACUUUUUCCCUUCAAAAUUUCCCUUCUUUUUACUCUUUCUUCAUAUGCUUUCAUUUUUACUUGUUUUAAUUUUUUCGUAAUUUUAAAAAUUUUUAUUUUUCUGUUUUUUAUUCCAAAUCUUUCGUCUUUUCAUUUUUGUUCUUUUUUUUUUCACAAAUUUCCUUUCAUUUCUUAUUUGCGUUUUUAAAUUCUCAUACUUUUUUUUAUUUUGCAUUAAAUUUUCUCUUUUUUAAUUUUUUGUCGCACUUUUUAUAUUGUUUUAUUAUUAGGACUUAUAUGUUUUUCAAUUUUUUUUCAUUUUGUCAUUCCAUUUCAUUUUUGAAAUUUUUCUUCAAUUUUUGUCCUUUUUUAUUUUCUUACUUUUUAUAUUUUUUUUUUUCUUUUUUUGUGCUUUAUUUAUCUUUUUUCUUUUGCUUUAAUUUUUUUUCUUAUUUUAUUUUUAUUUUUUUAUUUCUUUCUUUUUUUAUAGUUUCAUAAAUUUUUAUUAAGUUUUGAAAUUUUUUAUUUUUCUAUCUUUUUUUCUUUUCUUUUUUUAUUUUAUCAUUCUCGGUUAUUUUUUAUUGCAUUUUUAUAAUUUUUCAUUAACUUUUUCUCCUUUCAAAUUUUUCUUCACUUUUUUCUUUGUUUUAAAAUUUUCUAUAAAUUUUUUUCUUUUUGUUUUAUUUCAUAUUUUUGCCUCUUCAUUUUUUAUUUUUUUUCUUUUUUCUCA